Molecule: non-coding RNA, 788 nt
Filed under: Pongo abelii (Sumatran orangutan)
Lineage: Eukaryota; Metazoa; Chordata; Mammalia; Primates; Hominidae
Source: RNAcentral
GGAGAAUCUGAGACUUCUGAAGAGUUUCUUGCUUCUUUCCUGUGGGGCAGUGACUCCACUUCCCAGCAGUAAUGGAAUAUCCUGAAUUAGCUACAUUAAUGUUAGAACCAUUUGGACCUCACCCAGGACUUCAACUACAUUGUGGUUAAGACAGAGAAUCUGAAGACUGCAUACCUGACCUCUUGUUUUUACCUACCCACCCACCAACACCCAAAUAUUUCUACUGGACUAUAAUUUAUUGUGACGCCCCCACUUCCACUGCAGGAUGUUACAAGAAAUGAGACUCACUACUGAAUUCACAGCAGGCAUGGUUGAAGGCACCAUUCACUAUAGCUUGCAGUAUUCCCUUUAUGAGAUUUGUAUGAGAAAUUCCUCUCGUAGGUCAAGUUCUUGGGAGAAAAUUCUCCCAAAGAGCAAGUCCCAGGAAAAGCUUGGCUGCUAAAGUUACAGAAUCCAAAUUUGGCAACUGCCUGCAUCUGAACAACAGAAGUUUCAACAUUCUGCCAACAGAGUAACUCCUGGACGACUGGCACAGAAGAAGGCACAAGGCAAAUACCCAUCUCUGUACACCCUGUGCUACUGUGUCAUGUGCUGCUCCAGGCAACUCCAAUGGAUUGGCCACCCUGGCCAAUGUGCCCUCCAAACACCAGCACUGAGUAGAAAGAGGCUCUGAUUCAUGAAAUGUGAAUUUAUGACAGUUGCCACUCUUUAAAAAAAAACAGACAGAACUUGAGCAAUACAUGACUGAUGCAUUCUCAGCCUGCUUCCUGUGUUCCAUCUGUCUUUCU